Long non-coding RNA from Astyanax mexicanus (Mexican tetra), 453 nucleotides. RefSeq lists it as uncharacterized. The record is from RefSeq and is a predicted model, not a curated record. Lineage: Eukaryota; Metazoa; Chordata; Actinopteri; Characiformes; Acestrorhamphidae. The transcript is spliced from 4 exons.
GCGGCUGAUUUAGCAUGGAGAGAUGUCAGGCUGAGAUGUGGACUGAUAAAGAGUGGGGCAGAAAGUGCUCAUAAAGCAGUCUCCUACCACAGACAGGCCAGAACGUUUGCUCAACCUCCCUGCACCCUGAAAUGAACACCAGUCUUCCCUCACAUGUUCAGACACUCUUCGUGAGAGCCCGAUGGGAGACUUUACCAGACUUCCAAAGGCAGAGUAUCAUGAUGAAGAUCAACAGCUCUUUAAUGGGAUCCUACCUAUAAUCAAUGGGCACAAGGCAACAGCCUGGACAUAGCACCAGUCCAUUGCAGGCCACCCAGCUGAAUGUACUCCACAUUCUCCUCCAGUAUGUGGAAUCAAGUGGAGCAAUGUGGCUGCCCUUUUGAAUUCACAGCUGUAUAAUGGAUGCCUCUCAGUCUUCUUUGGCAGCUGCUCUCUUUUCUAUCAGAUUCACGA